ACCUGGCUGGCUCGGUAUGUAGAGCAUGUGACUCUUGAUCUCAGGGUUGUGAGUUCAAGCCCCAUGUUGGGCA
RNAcentral lists this transfer RNA (73 nucleotides) under Canis lupus familiaris (dog). It matches the Rfam family "tRNA". Rfam says of the family: Transfer RNA (tRNA) molecules are approximately 80 nucleotides in length. Their secondary structure includes four short double-helical elements and three loops (D, anti-codon, and T loops). Lineage: Eukaryota; Metazoa; Chordata; Mammalia; Carnivora; Canidae. The record is from Rfam by way of RNAcentral.